GUAAUUUUGACCUUCAACCGUUUAGGGCCAAUUGAAGUGCACUAUAUGGAGAAUAAUCCUGGAAUGUUUUCAUCAAAAACCUUAAUUUCUUUUCGACUGAAGAGAGAAGGACAUGGACAUCUUGGAUGACAUGGGGGGUGAUUUGCUUUUCCUAUGUUUUCUGGGAAGAAAAUAAAACAAUGAACAACUUUCUAUUGUUCCAGAUCAGAUGAGUGUGAAUCAUCAGUGAUUGUGUGAAGCUCAAACUCACCAGCUCUUCUUGCACAGAUGAUCUGAAGAAGAAUCACAGUAGGAGCAGCAAACACUGCGAUCUCAACAAUGAUCACAAUCACUGCAGGAAACGUGUGGAAGAAGAGGAGAAACUGGACAUGACUGAAGCCAAGGGGAUUAAACUAUGAACAGUUAUUGAUGAAGCAUUUACAGACUGACGUGUCGUACCUCUGAAUAAUGUUCUAGCAGUCACACAGAUGACAGUUUUUGAUGCUGUAUCAGCUGUGGAUCACAUCUGUUAGUUCAAUUCAAACAUAAUGCAGCAAAUAACACUUGAGCCUAUAUUUCUGGACUUUAAUGAUUUGUUCAUUCAUAAUUAUUUACAGUGCAGGUUUGAAAACAUCUGUAAACAUUUAAUCACAUGAAGCGCUUUCUUCUUUGUGUUCAGUCAAUCACAGUGAACUGCAGACAUUAUUAUUAUAGAAGUUUCAUUAGAAUGCAGACUGUUCUGGACAUUAAUUUUAAUGUUUCUUGAGCAAAAUGAAAAAAAAAUUCUUUAGCACAUUGACAGAUUUAAUUAGAGUUAGUUUGCACAAAGUUCCCGAUCCCCUGUACUCCAUCUCAUAAUGUCUUCACAGAGGAAUCAAUUAUGUCUAGGGACUGAUUUUAGAAGAAAAGUCACUGCAAAGCGCUGAUGUGAGAAAGACAGUGAUGAUGUACCUUUAGAUACAAGAUAACUCUAGCAUUGUCUAUCAUUAUAUAUAGCGUGUCUAACAGAGAAUCUUCCAUGACUGAUAUAUGAGAUUGUUUGUUCACCUGAAUA
Molecule: long non-coding RNA, 1033 nt
Organism: Ctenopharyngodon idella (grass carp)
Lineage: Eukaryota; Metazoa; Chordata; Actinopteri; Cypriniformes; Xenocyprididae
Exons: 3
Source: RefSeq, a predicted model, not a curated record